AGGCCUGAUUAGGGGCUGAGGAUGG
Molecule: non-coding RNA, 25 nt
Filed under: Cricetulus griseus (Chinese hamster)
Lineage: Eukaryota; Metazoa; Chordata; Mammalia; Rodentia; Cricetidae
Source: RNAcentral